UACGUAGGGAGCAAGCGUUGUCCGGAAUCAUUGGGCGUAAAGCGCGCGUAGGCGGCCCCGUAAGUCCGCUGUGAAAGUCAAAGGCUCAACCUUUGAAAGCCGGUGGAUACUGUGGGGCUAGAGUCCGGAAGAGGCGAGUGGAAUUCCUGGUGUAGCGGUGGAAUGCGCAGAUAUCAGGAGGAACACCAAUAGCGAAGGCAGCUCGCUGGGACGGUACUGACGCUAAGGCGCGAAAGCCAGGGGAGCGAACGGG
This 253-nucleotide ribosomal RNA is filed under the name uncultured bacterium. RNAcentral describes it as "partial 16S ribosomal RNA". It matches the Rfam family "Bacterial small subunit ribosomal RNA", at positions 524 to 776 of the family's 1533-position model. The record is from RNAcentral.